This 774-nucleotide ribosomal RNA is filed under the name uncultured bacterium. Its description in RNAcentral is "bacterial SSU rRNA". It matches the Rfam family "Bacterial small subunit ribosomal RNA", at positions 8 to 796 of the family's 1533-position model. The record is from RNAcentral.
AGAGUUUGAUCAUGGCUCAGGACGAACGCUGGCGGCGCGCCUAACACAUGCAAGUCGAGGGAGAACCACUCUUCGGAGUGGGGAGACCGGCGAACGGGUGAGUAACACGUGAGGAAUCUGCCCUGUAGACCGGAAUAACCACGGGAAACUGUGGCUAAUGCCGGAUAUUCUCGCCGCUCCGCAUGGAGCAACGAGGAAAUGGUCAGCCGCUACAGGAUGACCUCGCGGCCUAUCAGCUUGUUGGUGGGGUAACGGCCCACCAAGGCAACGACGGGUAGCUGGCGUGAGAGCGCGAACAGCCACACUGGGACUGAGACACGGCCCAGACUCCUACGGGAGGCAGCAGUGGGGAAUCUUGCUCAAUGGGCGAAAGCCUGAAGCAGCGACGCCGCGUGCGGGAAGAAGGCCUUCGGGUUGUAAACCGCUUUCAGGGGGGAAGAAGCGAAAGUGACGGUACCCCCAGAAGAAGGACCGGCCAACUACGUGCCAGCAGCCGCGGUAAUACGUAGGGUCCAAGCGUUGUCCGGAAUUAUUGGGCGUAAAGAGCUCGUAGGCGGUCCGUUAAGUCGGAAGUGAAAUCUCAAGGCUCAACCUUGAAAUCGCUCUCGAUACUGGCGGACUUGAGGCAGGUAGGGGAAGGUGGAAUUCCUGGUGUAGCGGUGAAAUGCGCGAUAUCAGGAGGAACACCGGUGGCGAAGGCGGCCUUCUGGGCCUGUUCUGACGCUGAGGAGCGAAAGCGUGGGGAGCAAACAGGAUUAGAUACCCUAGUAGUCC